AACGUAGGAGGCGAGCGUUAUCCGGAUUCACUGGGCGUAAAGCGAGCGUAGGCGGUUGGUCAAGUCGAACGUGAAAGCCCCUGGCUCAACUGGGGGAGGCCGUUCGAUACUGAUCGGCUUGAGGGUGAGAGAGGAGAGUGGAAUUCCCGGUGUAGCGGUGGAAUGCGUAGAGAUCGGGAGGAACACCAGUGGCGAAAGCGGCUCUCUGGCUCAUCUCUGACGCUGAGUGCUCGAAAGCGUGGGGAGCAAA
Molecule: ribosomal RNA, 250 nt
Filed under: uncultured bacterium
Lineage: Bacteria
Description: partial 16S ribosomal RNA
Rfam family: Bacterial small subunit ribosomal RNA
Source: RNAcentral